RNAcentral lists this ribosomal RNA (324 nucleotides) under uncultured eukaryote. RNAcentral describes it as "partial 18S ribosomal RNA". It matches the Rfam family "Eukaryotic small subunit ribosomal RNA", at positions 1470 to 1796 of the family's 1831-position model. The record is from RNAcentral.
CCCUUAGAUGUCCUGGGCUGCACGCGAGCUACACUGAUGUGUCCAGUAAGCACCUAACCUCUUCCGAAAGGAACGGGUAACCUUUGCAAAGCACAUCGUGAUGGGGAUAGAUUAUUGCAAUUAUUAGUCUUGAACGAGGAAUUCCUAGUAAGCACAAGUCAUCAGCUUGUGUUGAUUACGUCCCUGCCCUUUGUACACACCGCCCGUCGCUCCUACCGAUUGAAUGUUCCGGUGAGCUCUUCGGACUGCGCGGUCUGCAGUUUCUGCGUUCCGUGCGGAAAGUUGCGCAAACCUUAACAUUUAGAGGAAGGAGAAGUCGUAACA